AACGUAGGACGCGAACGUUAUCCGGAGUUACUGGGCGUAAAGCGCGUGCAGGCGGUUUUGUAAGUUACCUAUGAAAGCUCUCGGCUAAACUGGGAGAGGAUAGGUGAAACUGCAAGACUAGAGUGAGGUAGAGGUGAGUAGAAUUCCAGGUGUAGUGGUGAAAUGCGUAGAUAUCUGGAGGAAUACCAGUGGCGAAGGCGGCUCACUGGCCCUCAACUGACGCUGAGACGCGAAAGCGUGGGUAGCGAACGGG
RNAcentral lists this ribosomal RNA (253 nucleotides) under uncultured bacterium. RNAcentral's name for it is "partial 16S ribosomal RNA". It matches the Rfam family "Bacterial small subunit ribosomal RNA", at positions 524 to 776 of the family's 1533-position model. The record is from RNAcentral.